UGGGGAAUUUUGGACAAUGGGCGAAAGCCUGAUCCAGCAAUGCCGCGUGUGUGAAGAAGGCCUUCGGGUUGUAAAGCACUUUUGUCCGGAAAGAAAUCCUUGGCUCUAAUACAGUCGGGGGAUGACGGUACCGGAAGAAUAAGCACCGGCUAACUACGUGCCAGCAGCCGCGGUAAUACGUAGGGUGCAAGCGUUAAUCGGAAUUACUGGGCGUAAAGCGUGCGCAGGCGGUUUGCUAAGACCGAUGUGAAAUCCCCGGGCUCAACCUGGGAACUGCAUUGGUGACUGGCAGGCUAGAGUAUGGCAGAGGGGGGUAGAAUUCCACGUGUAGCAGUGAAAUGCGUAGAGAUGUGGAGGAAUACCGAUGGCGAAGGCAGCCCCCUGGCAAGUACUGACGCUCAUGCACGAAAGCGUGGGGAGCAAACAGGAUUAGAUACCCUGGUAGUCCACGCCCUAAACGAUGUCAACUAGUUGUUGGGGAUUCAUUUCCUUAGUAACGUAGCUAACGCGUGAAGUUGACCGCCUGGGGAGUACGGUCGCAAGAUUAAAACUUAAAUGAAUUGACGGGGUCAUAGCUGUUUCCU
RNAcentral lists this ribosomal RNA (584 nucleotides) under uncultured bacterium. Its description in RNAcentral is "partial 16S ribosomal RNA". It matches the Rfam family "Bacterial small subunit ribosomal RNA", at positions 355 to 1375 of the family's 1533-position model. The record is from RNAcentral.